This 468-nucleotide ribosomal RNA is filed under the name uncultured bacterium. RNAcentral describes it as "partial 16S ribosomal RNA". It matches the Rfam family "Bacterial small subunit ribosomal RNA", at positions 28 to 507 of the family's 1533-position model. The record is from RNAcentral.
GACGAACGCUGGCGGCGUGCUUAACACAUGCACGUCGAACGGAAAGGCCCUGCUUUUGUGGGGUGCUCGAGUGGCGAACGGGUGAGUAACACGUGAGUAACCUGCCCUUGACUUUGGGAUAACUUCAGGAAACUGGGGCUAAUACCGGAUAGGAUCUGCUGCUGCAUGGUGGGGGUUGGAAAGUUUCGGCGGGUGCGGAUGGACUCGCGGCUUAUCAGCUUGUUGGUGGGGUAGUGGCUGACCAAGGCUUUGACGGGUCGCCGGCCUGAGAGGGUGACCGGCCACAUUGGGACUGAGAUACGGCGCAGACUCGUACGGGAGGCAGCAGUGGGGAAUAUUGCACAAUGGGCGGAAGCCUGAUGCAGAAACGCCGCGUGCGGGAUGACGGCCUUCGGGUUGUAAAACGCUUUCGCCUGUGACGAAGCGUGAGUGACGGUAAUGGGUAAAGAAGCACCGGCUAACUACGUG